RNAcentral lists this ribosomal RNA (305 nucleotides) under uncultured bacterium. RNAcentral's name for it is "bacterial SSU rRNA". It matches the Rfam family "Bacterial small subunit ribosomal RNA", at positions 337 to 659 of the family's 1533-position model. The record is from RNAcentral.
ACCUACGGGGGGCAGCAGUGGGGAAUAUUGCCCAAUGGGGGAAACCCUGAUGCAGCGACGCCGCGUGAGUGAAGAAGUAUUUCGGUAUGUAAAGCUCUAUCAGCAGGGAAGAAGUUGACGGUACCUGAGUAAGAAGCCCCGGCUAACUACGUGCCAGCAGCCGCGGUAAUACGUAGGUGGCAAGCGUUGUCCGGAUUUACUGGGUGUAAAGGGCGUGUAGCCAGGCUGACAAGUCAGAUGUGAAAUCCGGGGGCUCAACCCCCGAACUGCAUUUGAAACUGUUGGUCUUGAGUAUCGGAGAGGCA